GGAAGCCAACAAACCUACUGAUAUAUUAGCAUCCAGGAGUUAUAGUGUUGAUGCAAUACACGAGUUCAACUCUUUCUUUGAUCUCCCGAGGGAAGUUAGGGGAUUAAUUAACACAGAUAGAUAGGAGUUCCCUUCCUUCAGAAUGCAACAGGUUAAACCUUCUAAUUUUAUUUACGAACCCCCCUGAAUCCUCUUUGUCAAGGAGUCACGUUAGUAGGGUAAUAGCUAACUUAGACUCCCCCCCUUCUUUUGGUGUUAACUUGUAGAGUUUAUCUAACUCUAGUUCUACCCCAAGAUCUUGUAUUAAGUUUGGUAUACCAAACUUCAAAAUGUAACUUUUUCAUAUCAAUGAUCAUUGGAGGCAGUUAAAAAAAA
This 375-nucleotide long non-coding RNA is filed under the name Solanum tuberosum (potato). Its description in RNAcentral is "long non-coding RNA (STUB_LNC007947)". Lineage: Eukaryota; Viridiplantae; Streptophyta; Magnoliopsida; Solanales; Solanaceae. The record is from RNAcentral.